Long non-coding RNA from Ornithorhynchus anatinus (platypus), 1978 nucleotides. RefSeq lists it as uncharacterized. Lineage: Eukaryota; Metazoa; Chordata; Mammalia; Monotremata; Ornithorhynchidae. The transcript has 4 exons. The record is from RefSeq and is a predicted model, not a curated record.
CAUCUUGUCUGAUCUGUAGUGGUGAGAAGAAGAUGAGGGGUAAUAGAAGUCCAAAUACCUAUCUGAAUGGCAGAGACACUGACCGUGAUUGUCCCUGUGACUUUGUGUUGAAUGAAAAUUCAAGGGGCAGGAACUGAAGUGAAGACUUGAGCAAAUGAUUCCAGCGUGAACCACCAUUGGACUACCCAAACAAUGUCCUGUGUGUGCAACGACAGCAAAGGUUCCCAGAUGACGGCCAAGAAAGAAUGAAGGUCCACUGGAGCAGUCUGGAAAGCUUUAGAAAACAGCUCAGGCAUGGUCAGACUCUUGUGAAGAGUGGCUAGGGUGUCACCCACUGCUGUGAACUGUCAGGACACUGGGACCAAUCUGUUAGAUUCAAGUCGGCCUGUCUGCUGGGGGAUGUCCAGCUGCCAUUGGAAGCAUAAAGAUAGUACCUGGAAAUGGUCUGGCAGCCAGUUUGGAACAAUUCAUUGGGUCAAGUUGAACAGUCGUUAGGGGAAUGGCCACAGAGAGUGCUCUGCUGGAAGUGACCCAAAGGCUGGUGGGACCGAUCUGCUGGGGAAGGUCCGGCAAUCCACUGGGAGAAAUCCAUUGGAAGCUGUCCGGCAGUCCAUUAAGAGCUGAGCAUUGGAUGCAGGCCAGAAUCCUAUUAGAAUCAUUCCAUUAGGAGUGUUCCAUCAGUCCAUAAGGAGCAUUUUUGUCAGCCUACUGGGAAUAGUAAAGCAAACACGUUGGCAUUUUGAUGCAGGAGAGCACAUCUUUAAGAAAUUAUAGGAAUACUAAACCAAUCAAAGGACCUGAUGCUUUGUAAAAUAAGUGGGUGUUACAUCUAAAAAAAAUCUAGAUGUCUUAACAUUACAACUUAUUCUCUGCAUCUAAAUGGGUAUUGUAAAAUGAGUCUUCCGAAGAUCAUAGUGGUUCCUGAUAUUUGAUACCUCCCAAGCAGUUUAAUAGUAAUUCUAAAAGGUAUACAGAGAGCUGAUAAAUGUAAUGGUAAAAAUGAUAAUUUAUAGAUAAAGAUUAAAUUGAGUUGGCAAAAAUAUUUAGUAUUGAAACAAAAAAAUCCAUGUAUCGGUGGAUUUCUUUUUAGCUUGAUAGGCCUAGAGUGAACUGUUGUUUAGUCAUGAAUUAGACCUGAUUUUUAAAAAUUUUUUAUGAAAACAAAAAUGCUAUUGAUUUUAAAUUUAGUUUAUCAACAAUAAGGAAAAUUCAUCUUCAGCACUUUCUGUUUGCCCUGGUUAGAUUAAUUUGUAUUUAUAAAACAACCAAGUUUGGAUGAAAGUUCAUCGUUUAUGCUACUAAUAAAUAUUCAUACAUCAGUUACUUGGGUAGCCAAAUGAAUGUCAAAGAAGCAUUUUAAAAAACUAACAGUUCAGUUCCAUCACAUAACAUUAUUUUGUAAUUUAUAUUUUGAGAGAGUUGAGAUAAUUACUAUUCAAUUCUAAUUUGUCUUGGAAAUUUAUCAAACACGGAUGUUUUCUAUUUGAAUUUGAAGUUAAUUUUUUUUGAAAGAGCUAUCUUAUUCAGAUGAUAUCUUGAACUAAAAAGAGAAUCAUGAUUAGUGGUGUGCAGGAAGACAGUGGUAUUUUCUUUCAUCAUUUGAGAAAGCAAAAUGUGUAGACAAACUAUGGAAAGAUUGCUAAGAUUUUCUUCUUUGCAUUUUCAAAUUACAGUUCCAAAAUAUGAGUUUUUCACUAAUAAUAUUUGGACGACUAAAGUUUAUGGGAAGGACAGAAGUAAGGCAAAUGAGAAGAGUGAAACAAAGCAAGAAAACCAAGAGAUUUUCUUGCGCAAGUAGAAAAAAGCCAACAGAACAGAUACAGACAACUUUCAUGCCCUUUGGUUAAAAAAUAGAAAUAGGAUAAGGUCUGCUGGCAAGGGACUGUCUCUUCUGGCUGGAUUCCCCAGCACUUUAAGGCUUUAACAUAGCAUAUAGGUUAUUUUAUGUAAAAGCUGUUUACCCUUGGAAAAUUGUGUU